GAAAAGAAACCAACAGGGAUUGCCCUAGUAACGGCGAGUGAAGCGGCAACAGCUCAAAUUUGAAAUCUGGCGUCUUUGGCGUCCGAGUUGUAAUUUGCAGAGGGCGCUUUGGCAUUGGCAGCGGUCCAAGUUCCUUGGAACAGGACGUCACAGAGGGUGAGAAUCCCGUACGUGGUCGCUAGCCUUUACCGUGUAAAGCCCCUUCGACGAGUCGAGUUGUUUGGGAAUGCAGCUCUAAAUGGGAGGUAAAUUUCUUCUAAAGCUAAAUACUGGCCAGAGACCGAUAGCGCACAAGUAGAGUGAUCGAAAGAUGAAAAGCACUUUGGAAAGAGAGUUAAAAAGCACGUGAAAUUGUUGAAAGGGAAGCGCUUGCAGCCAGACUUGCCUGUAGUUGCUCAUCCGGGUUUUUACCCGGUGCACUCUUCUACGGGCAGGCCAGCAUCAGUUUGGGCGGUUGGAUAAAGGUCUCUGUCACGUACCUCCUCUCGGGGAGAACUUAUAGGGGAGACGACAUGCAACCAGCCCGGACUGAGGUCCGCGCAUCUGCUAGGAUGCUGGCGUAAUGGCUGUAAGCGGCCCGUCUUGAAACACGGACCAAGGAGUCUAACAUCUAUGCGAGUGUUUGGGUGUCAAGCCCGAGCGCGUAAUGAAAGUGAACGGAGGUGGGAACCUUUCGGGGUGCACCAUCGACCGAUCCUGAUGUCUUCGGAUGGAUUUGAGUAAGAGCAUAGCUGUUGGGACCCGAAAGAUGGUGAACUAUGCUUGAAUAGGGUGAAGCCAGAGGAAACUCUGGUGGAGGCUCGCAGCGGUUCUGACGUGCAAAUCGAUCGUCAAAUUUGGGCAUAGGGGCGAAAGACUAAUCGAACUAUCUAGUAGCUGGUUCCUGCCGA
This 890-nucleotide ribosomal RNA is filed under the name Epicoccum sorghinum. RNAcentral's name for it is "partial 28S ribosomal RNA". It matches the Rfam family "Eukaryotic large subunit ribosomal RNA", at positions 56 to 964 of the family's 3401-position model. The record is from RNAcentral. Lineage: Eukaryota; Fungi; Ascomycota; Dothideomycetes; Pleosporales; Didymellaceae.